GAUGAACGCUGGCGGCGUGCCUAAUACAUGCAAGUCGAGCGAACGGACGAGAAGCUUGCUUCUCUGAUGUUAGCGGCGGACGGGUGAGUAACACGUGGAUAACCUACCUAUAAGACUGGGAUAACUUCGGGAAACCGGAGCUAAUACCGGAUAAUAUUUUGAACCGCAUGGUUCAAAAGUGAAAGACGGUCUUGCUGUCACUUAUAGAUGGAUCCGCGCUGCAUUAGCUAGUUGGUAAGGUAACGGCUUACCAAGGCAACGAUGCAUAGCCGACCUGAGAGGGUGAUCGGCCACACUGGAACUGAGACACGGUCCAGACUCCUACGGGAGGCAGCAGUAGGGAAUCUUCCGCAAUGGGCGAAAGCCUGACGGAGCAACGCCGCGUGAGUGAUGAAGGUCUUCGGAUCGUAAAACUCUGUUAUUAGGGAAGAACAUAUGUGUAAGUAACUGUGCACAUCUUGACGGUACCUAAUCAGAAAGCCACGGCUAACUACGUGCCAGCGGCCGCGGUAAUACGUAGGUGGCAAGCGUUAUCCGGAAUUAUUGGGCGUAAAGCGCGCGUAGGCGGUUUUUUAAGUCUGAUGUGAAAGCCCACGGCUCAACCGUGGAGGGUCAUUGGAAACUGGAAAACUUGAGUGCAGAAGAGGAAAGUGGAAUUCCAUGUGUAGCGGUGAAAUGCGCAGAGAUAUGGAGGAACACCAGUGGCGAAGGCGACUUUCUGGUCUGUAACUGACGCUGAUGUGCGAAAGCGUGGGGAUCAAACAGGAUUAGAUACCCUGGUAGUCCACGCCGUAAACGAUGAGUGCUAAGUGUUAGGGGGUUUCCGCCCCUUAGUGCUGCAGCUAACGCAUUAAGCACUCCGCCUGGGGAGUACGACCGCAAGGUUGAAACUCAAAGGAAUUGACGGGGACCCGCACAAGCGGUGGAGCAUGUGGUUUAAUUCGAAGCAACGCGAAGAACCUUACCAAAUCUUGACAUCCUUUGACAACUCUAGAGAUAGAGCCUUCCCCUUCGGGGGACAAAGUGACAGGUGGUGCAUGGUUGUCGUCAGCUCGUGUCAUGAGAUGUUGGGUUAAGUCCCGCAACGAGCGCAACCCUUAAGCUUAGUUGCCAUCAUUAAGUUGGGCACUCUAAGUUGACUGCCGGUGACAAACCGGAGGAAGGUGGGGAUGACGUCAAAUCAUCAUGCCCCUUAUGAUUUGGGCUACACACGUGCUACAAUGGACAAUACAAAGGGCAGCGAAACCGCGAGGUCAAGCAAAUCCCAUAAAGUUGUUCUCAGUUCGGAUUGUAGUCUGCAACUCGACUACAUGAAGCUGGAAUCGCUAGUAAUCGUAGAUCAGCAUGCUACGGUGAAUACGUUCCCGGGUCU
RNAcentral lists this ribosomal RNA (1372 nucleotides) under uncultured bacterium. RNAcentral describes it as "bacterial SSU rRNA". It matches the Rfam family "Bacterial small subunit ribosomal RNA", at positions 28 to 1381 of the family's 1533-position model. The record is from RNAcentral.